ACGGCUGAGUAACGCGUGGGUGACGUACCUGUUGGUGGGGAAUAACUGCCCGAAAGGGUGGCUAAUUCCGCAUACGUCCUUCGGUUCGAUUCGAAGGGGAAAGCUUCGCAAGAGGCGCCGAUGGAGCGGCCCGCGUCCGAUUAGCUGGUUGGUGGGGUAACGGCCUACCAAGGCGACGAUCGGUAGCUGGUCUUAGAGGAUGAUCAGCCAGACUGGGACUGAGACACGGCCCAG
This 234-nucleotide ribosomal RNA is filed under the name uncultured bacterium. RNAcentral's name for it is "partial 16S ribosomal RNA". It matches the Rfam family "Bacterial small subunit ribosomal RNA", at positions 102 to 334 of the family's 1533-position model. The record is from RNAcentral.